This 3292-nucleotide long non-coding RNA is filed under the name Ananas comosus (pineapple). Its description in RNAcentral is "long non-coding RNA (ACOM_LNC036146)". Lineage: Eukaryota; Viridiplantae; Streptophyta; Magnoliopsida; Poales; Bromeliaceae. The record is from RNAcentral.
GUGGGUUGUGCUUACCGAAGCGAUUAGGUCGCUUCCAUGUCAAAGUAAUCUUUGAUUCUCAUUGAUGCAUACAUUUAUAUGGAAAGGAAUAGAUGAUGAAAUGAUUACAUGAAUCGUGAGGUCAUAGCUAAGUUAUCUACCAUUGCAAUAUGCACAUGAAUGCAUUGAUAAUCAUCUCAAGUAAUGUAUGAAUAUUGAUAUGCGAUAAACAUGUUAGAUGCAUAUAAAUGCUAGAUGCAUAUGAAUGCUAAAUGCAUAUAAAUACAAGAAUUGUGAUUACUAAUUGUAUAUGCUUAAACAUAUAUGGAAGUGAAUGCUAGGUGCAUGUUAAUAUAUUAUGAUUAAGGUUGAAGUUAUGUGAACUUGACAUAUUGUGGACAUGCUAAGUUUAUGAGAGUCGGGUAUAACUCGAUAAUUUUAAUGGAUUAGAAAUCUCGAUAGGGACAAAGAAAGUAUUAAUAUGUAAAUUAUGAACCUAGGCAAGGAUACCUAGAAUGACACAUAUAGAUCGAGUGGCAUGAACCCAAUGUUAUUAAACAUAGGUCGGACAUAACCUAAUGUCAUUAAACAUAGGUUGAAUUAGUAAACCUAGAGUCGAGAUCUAGGUGAAAGAACAAAACCUAGCGUAAGUGAACCUUGGUUAUGAUGCAUAGAGACACUUAGUAAAAUUAAAUUAAGUUAUGAAUUAUAGUGGUAAUAGGACCACUAGAAAGUGAAAAGUAAAUGGUAUAGACCUAGAAAUGUCGUCGACAUAGGGUAAAAGAGUAAACCCUUAAGUUGUGAAAGUGGGUUUCGGAAUCCAUAGAAAUGGUGCUGUUGGCAAAAUAGAAUCAGAACUACGGGAUCGACGGUUCUCCUCUCCCGGUAGUGAUUCAACGGGAUUGACGGUUCUCCUCUCCCGGUAUGAGCUCAACGGGUUUGACGGUUCUCCUCGCCCGUUCAGCUCGAGCGACUUAGGGUCACGGGGAUCGACGGUUCUCCUCUCCUUGUGAUGGACCUAGUGUCGCGUGGACUUAAGGCUGAGGUGCUUGUGAGACGUCCUUCACCUCGAGCCUGACUUGACGCGGUACUCCGCGGUUGAUUGACUCAAGACCGAGUCGAGUGGCUAGAUGGCUAAGGUAAAAUAACCUUAAGAAAGAAUCACCAGUGGGCAUAAUAUGAUAAAGAACAAAAAAAUAAAGAAUAAAGAGAGUAGCUAAUGAACGUGAAUAGCUAAUAAAGAAAAGAACGGCUACAAGUAAAGAAUGGUUAAUGAUAUAAAGUAGAAUCAAGUAUUCUACUUGCAUGAUUUACAGGUAUUGCAUAUUGCAUAGCAUCGAUACAGUUGCGAGGCAAGGCAUGGUUUUAUUUAUUUGCAUACAUAGUCAAAUAUAUGUCUAUCUGUUUAUUAAACUAACCUGCAGUUGCCUCCUUUGAACCUGGUGGGUCGAGCUCUUCUCUUGGGUGGCCGUACCCACUGGGAACUAUAUUUAUAUAGUCCUCACCCCCGUGUUGUUUUGGGGGUACAGGUUACACGCGAGCGGCGCGGCAGCGCGAGGACAGGGUGUAGCUCCGUAGAUAGUGCCCUACCACGGAGACCAGAGAUAGCAAUACCCUGAAGAGGUCAAGCUCAGAGUAUAAGUAUGAAUGAAACAAAAUUGUAGUAAAAGUGUAUAAGUUGUAAUAAUUUAAAGGCUUAUGUAAUAUUGUAAAAGUAAAAAAAUUCUGAGAUGAAUGCUUGUAAUAGCGUAGUUAGUAUUUUAUGUUUUUGAUACUGAUGCAAUCUGUGGUUGAAUACAGUUCGUGUUUGCAACCUCUUGUAUUGCAUUGUAUAGAUUGUGACGCCUAGAACGUACAGGGGAGGCUCUGUCCGUUCGGCUGUCUGUCGGCGUGCCCGAAUCCGACCAAAUAGGCGGAGCUCGGGGCGUGAUAGAUUAAGUGGUAUCAGAGCAUAAAAAGAGUAAUAGAAACGGUUUAGAUGGACCUAGGAGACCUAGGAUAGUAAACCGUAAGGAUUUAUAUUCGUGAGAGACGAGGACUUGUGACGUGUGGCGAAAGAUAAAUCAAUUGGGUCAAGUUUAGUAAACCUCUAAGAUGGAUAUUAGAGGUAGAUUCAAGAUUCAGUUUAUUCUCAGCCAAGUGAGUUCAUGUUGGGUCGACACAACAUGAAACCCAGGGAUGGGAAUAAGCUUCCUUGCAUGACUUUCGCCCGAUUUGAGUCUAUAUUAAUUAAUUCGUAUUCGACCGAGAGGGUCGAGGACUAACUGAGUUGUCGUGUUUCAGGAGGCGAUGGCACCGCGUAGGCGUUCGUCUAGAUCGACGCGGGAUGGGACAGAUGGUGUCCCUGAGCAGACUAAGGCGAGCGGAGACUUGGAGCUUCGCGAUCAGUUGGCCACACUCGUGGGAGUGGUGAGGCAACAAGCGGAUGUAGUGCAACGUCAGCAGGACGCUGCUCUGCACCAAGAAGAGCGGAUUAAGAGACUCCAGGAGACGGUGGAUCAGUUAGUAACCGCACCAGUUUCGGCUCGUCGUGUACGGCCAGGAGUCACAGCGGAGGCAUUUCAGUCGGGGUCGAGCAAUCCGACUGCUGUUAAUUCAGAGAUGGAAGCUGAAAGGGAGCGUGCUUUAGCGGCUCUUAUGACUUUUAAGUUUGAUCCGCCUACUUUUGAUGGAGAAGAUAUAGACCCGUGGACCGUAGAGUUGUGGAUCGACUCCAUGGAGACUUUAUUUGAGGAUUGGUACACUGUGGAGGGGGACAAGGUGCAUUUAGCCGUACAUUGUUUGCAACGGUCAGCGAAGGUGUGUUGGAAAGACAUCAAACGGAAUCUGUCACGCCCUGGGACCGGCUGAGGCCCUCCCGGUAGCGUGCCCAGACCCGCCAUAUGUCUACACAUAUAAGGCGUCUACAGCAAAAGCGGAAGUAAAGCAGGNACCUAGAAAGGUCGUCAACAUAGAGUAAAAGAGUAAAACCCUUAAGUUGUGAAAGUGGAUUCCGGAAUUCCUAGGAAUGGUGUGAUGGCAAGAAUAGAAUCAUAACUACGGGAUUGACGGUUCUCCUCUCCCGGUAGUGAUUCAACGGGAUCGACGGUUCUCCUCUCCCGGUAUGAGCUAACGGGUUUGACGGUUCUCCUCGCCCGUUAAGCUGGAGCGACUUAGGGUCACAGGGAUCGACGGUUCUCCUCUCCCUGUGAUGGACCUAGUGUCGUGUGGACUUAAGGCUGAGGUGCUUGUGAGACGUCCUUCACCUCGAGCCUGACUUGACACGGUACUCCGCGGUUGAUUGACUCAAGACCGAGUCGAGUGGCUAGAUGGC